This 329-nucleotide unclassified non-coding RNA is filed under the name soil metagenome. Its description in RNAcentral is "partial contains 5.8S ribosomal RNA, internal transcribed spacer 2, and large subunit ribosomal RNA". The stretch from base 1 to 120 matches the Rfam family "5.8S ribosomal RNA", at positions 35 to 154 of the family's 154-position model. The record is from RNAcentral.
GAUGAAGAACGUAGCGAAAUGCGAUAAGUAAUGUGAAUUGCAGAAUUCCGUGAAUCAUCGAAUCUUUGAACGCACAUUGCGCCCCCUGGUAUUCCGGGGGGCAUGCCUGUUCGAGCGUCAUUACAACCCUCAAGCUCAGCUUGGUGUUGGGCCCCGCCGCCCCGGCGGGCCCUAAAGUCAGUGGCGGUGCCGUCCGGCUCCGAGCGUAGUAAUUCUUCUCGCUCUGGAGGUCCGGUCGUGUGCUCGCCAGCAACCCCCAAUUUUUUUCAGGUUGACCUCGGAUCAGGUAGGGAUACCCGCUGAACUUAAGCAUAUCAAUAAGCGGAGGA